AUUAAUAUGUAUGUAUUAAUCUGUAAUAUAAUAAUAAAGAUAGAGAUUAUGCAAUGGUUAAGAUCUAUAAAUAUAUACAUAGAUCUAAUUUUAUUAAUAUAUUAAUUCAUGAGAAAAAUUUGGGCAUUUCAUAUUACAUUCAUAAUUUUGUGUUAAAUUCGUAUUAUAAAGUUAUUUUCUGAUUUGUUUGUGGCACAUAAAGACACUGUAUCCAAUAAUUUAUAUAAACGAUUAUAAACAAAGACCUUAACAUAUGUUGACAAAGACUUAACAAAUAAAUUUGUGUUAAAAGUUAUUUAUGUUAUUUGGAGGGAAUACUUGGGCUUUAUAUGUAGCCGAAAAAUUGCUCACGGAUGACAUCUGAAGCAUUAGGAUGUGACAUGAGAGGAGAUUGUGGAGAAUAUGAAUGGUAAGAUGGAAGGUAUAGAUCUGACACCAUAUAUCGGCUACAUAUUGGCUACAAUUAACAGACUUAUUAUUUAAACACAAACCUUCUUGAUCAAGUAUAUCUUCGAUAUAAUAAAUUUUUGAAUCGAUUUCAUAAAUAUGCCCAUUUCAUAAAAUUUGUCAAUGUCAGUUUUAAUUUUCUAAUUAUAAAUAUAUAUGUAUAUAUAGACAUUUUCUAUUUUAUUCUCUAUUAUUAGUUUGAUUUU
Vespula pensylvanica (western yellowjacket) is the source of this 653-nucleotide long non-coding RNA. RefSeq lists it as uncharacterized. NCBI's taxonomy places the organism in Eukaryota, Metazoa, Arthropoda, Insecta, Hymenoptera, Vespidae. The transcript is spliced from 3 exons. The record is from RefSeq and is a predicted model, not a curated record.